AUGCAGCCCACACGUAGGUGAGUCACCCCUAGUCUGAUGGCACUAUCUACUGUACCUGAUACUCCAAAAAAAAUCUACUGUACAUGAUGCGGAGAUGGGACAGAAUUAGAAGAAAUAAAGAAAAAGACCAAGUGAGCAAUUUCGGAAAGCAAAAUGGUGAGAAUAGUGUGAACCGGAGGCGUGGAAGGGGAAUAGAGACGGCCGCCAUGAGAGCGGUCGGUCACCAGCUUCGUCGGCAGUACGUCGUCGCUGCCGAGGGCGGGAUGGCAGAUCCGGACUCUGUGCAGCUGCUGGGCGGUCCACAGUGGGGGUGCGAGGCCGACGGCGUGGGCUCCCUAUGGAGCUGGGGCGGAGGGCGGUGCAGGAGCGGCGAUGCGCGCCCUUGUCCGCUGCAGAGCGGCCGGCGAGCUAACUGGAGCAGGAGCGAGCGUGGAUUGAGACAUCAGUGGUAGCACUCAGAAUCUGAGGUCACCAGAAAAGAAAGAUCAGCUUUGCUGCAGGCCCGGCUGGAACCGGCGGUGUCCAUCUCCAUUGUUUGCUAUUGUGUGCCAACAACCACGACACAGAAGCAGGACGAUCUGGCCGGUGGCCACCAAGACAUCGUCCACCAAUCAAAAGGACUGAAUCAAGAACGAAAGUGAAUUGUAAGCCUGUUGUCAGCGUCCGGCGGCGCAAGCCCCCACGGCUGCUUCUCUACAGGACGCAGUCCGCAAGAGGAUAGGCACCACGGCGGCAAUCGGUGCGUGCCAGGCCGCGGCCGUUUCCAUCGCAGCGUUGACCAUGAAACGUCGAGUGGGGCUCCUUUGUCGCCAGAGGCAAGGGCGCUGCUGGCCCCAUGGCGCCGGCCAUGGCGGGGCUCUUCAUCCUCAAUUAGGGCGGCUGCGCCACCUCACAAACCAAUGAAAGGGAGGCCAAGCGCGGGGAGGACCUAGUCGAUCUCUCCCGCAGCUCCUGGCCGCCGGGGAUCACGAUACGGCGAUACGGAUACGGAUACCGCGAUACGGCGAUACGGCGAUUUUUCAAAAACACGGAUACGGGGAUACGUUUGUAUAUAUGUAAUAAAUAUUAAUAAUAUAUAUAAAUUACUGAUUGUUGUACGAGAAUAAGAAUUACUAUAUGGGAGUAUAGAAUUCUAGAUGUAUAUCCGGACAUUCCAAUUCA
Molecule: long non-coding RNA, 1161 nt
Organism: Lolium perenne
Lineage: Eukaryota; Viridiplantae; Streptophyta; Magnoliopsida; Poales; Poaceae
Source: RefSeq, a predicted model, not a curated record